Molecule: transfer RNA, 100 nt
Filed under: Caudoviricetes sp.
Lineage: Duplodnaviria; Heunggongvirae; Uroviricota; Caudoviricetes
Description: tRNA-Ile
Rfam family: tRNA
About the family: Transfer RNA (tRNA) molecules are approximately 80 nucleotides in length. Their secondary structure includes four short double-helical elements and three loops (D, anti-codon, and T loops). Further hydrogen bonds mediate the characteristic L-shaped molecular structure. tRNAs have two regions of fundamental functional importance: the anti-codon, which is responsible for specific mRNA codon recognition, and the 3' end, to which the tRNAs corresponding amino acid is attached (by aminoacyl-tRNA synthetases). tRNAs cope with the degeneracy of the genetic code in two manners: having more than one tRNA (with a specific anti-codon) for a particular amino acid; and 'wobble' base-pairing, i.e. permitting non-standard base-pairing at the 3rd anti-codon position.
Source: RNAcentral
GCCUCCUUAGCUUAAUUGGUAAAGAAACCGGCUUAUACCCGGUCAGAGCUCUGUCUAGAUAAGGCAGAUGUUGCAGGUUCGAGUCCUGCAGGAGGCACCA